CAAGCCUGAUGCAUCCAUGCCGCGUGUAUAAAGAAGGCCCUAUGGUUGUAAAGUACUUUCAGUCGGGAGGAAGGCGUUGAUGUUAAUACCAUCUACGAUUGACGUUACCGACAGAAGAAGCACCGGCUAACUCCGUGCCACCAGCCGCGGUAAUACGGAGGGUGCAAGCGUUAAUCUGAAUUACUGGGCGUAAAGCGCACGCAGG
Molecule: ribosomal RNA, 205 nt
Filed under: Providencia stuartii
Lineage: Bacteria; Pseudomonadati; Pseudomonadota; Gammaproteobacteria; Enterobacterales; Morganellaceae
Description: partial 16S ribosomal RNA
Rfam family: Bacterial small subunit ribosomal RNA
Source: RNAcentral